RNAcentral lists this long non-coding RNA (1979 nucleotides) under Coffea arabica (coffee). RNAcentral describes it as "long non-coding RNA (CARA_LNC004677)". The record is from RNAcentral. Lineage: Eukaryota; Viridiplantae; Streptophyta; Magnoliopsida; Gentianales; Rubiaceae.
GACGAAGCAGAUGCUACUAGAUACGGUUCAUCCCCAGGAGCAGGACCUCUACUGUGGGAAAGCACAACAAUACCUUUCACACGGGCUGAAUGUGCAUCUUCAAUGCUAUAUGCAACUUUUCCCGAAUUUGUAUCCCAAGCGGUAAUAUUCCUAUCCUCUCCACCAGUAAACAGAAUCCCAUCCUGGCAACCAUCUCAAUUAGCUUUCACAUUUCAAUAAAGAAACAAUUGCAGUACUCCAGGAAGACAACUACCUCAAACAGAUAAGAUAUACAAGUUUCACAAAUAAUGAAACGCACCAUGCCAAAUGGUCAACGGGUUAAAAAGAGUACUAAUGAUUGACUUCAUUUAAAUUGGAAUUUUUCUCUAAAAAAUAAGGAAAUAAGCUGCACAUGCUCUUGGCAAGUGCGUCAGCUGCCACAAUUAGCCAAAUGUCACCUAAUCCCAGUUUUCUUGCAGCUGCUCUAAUUUUUGGGGUGGAUUCAGAAGAUAAAGUAACUCAAUGGCAUGGUAUUAAACACUAAAUGAUUAAGCCCAUAAACUAGUCAAUGAAUAUCAAUCAAUUCGGAGCUAUACUAUCUAGUUGUGACAACUCUUGUCAGGUACAUUUUCUAAGAUGCUUGAAGAACUGCUAGCAUUGAGUCAAACAGGAGAUUUUACUAAAGGAAAUCAAAAAAUAAUAAAAAAAAAUGCAUCUCCAAUGUAUUGAGUACUUGCAAUCUUUGUUUUUACUUGCCAAAGAGCUAUUCUUUUAAGUCAAUUAUAGCUAGAAUUACAACUUAUUCAGCAUCACAAGCAUCAAGCUCUUUUCGGCUAUAUAUGAUGCAAACAAGGCAAUCAAUUUCAUAUACACACAAGGAGAUUAUAUGCCAAGACAAUUGAGAAGGCUAUGGUUUCUUCCUAAAGGUGCAAGAGGACCCAAUAAGGGAAAUUGGGAAAAGACCAAAAUUGAUUCCUUCAGAGUUACGAAGCCAAACCACUUCUAUCAUAAACCAAAUCACGAUUACAAAGGCAACUCUCUCAGAGCAAAACUGAAAAGCCAAAACCCAAUGAUGUUCAACUGAACAUCUGCAUUGAAAGUCACUUCAUGUUUUAAAUCUCUGAUUCUAAAAGUUUGUGUACAUCUUUUAUAUCUUUUUUUCUUAAAAUGAAGAACUCCUUUCAAUUGCUUGCCCUGAUCAUUAAUUUCCAGCACAUUAGUUGCUUAAACUUGUACACCUUUUGAUAAGAUAAUCUCAUUGCAUCACCACCUAUAUCUCACGUUAAAGUUACUACAUAAGGAAGAAGAGAAGAACUUGUAUCUCCUGUGACCCCCUUUACUUGUGGAGUUUAUAAACAUAGCAUUUUCCAAGAAAAUGCCUUCAUUGAACUUUCUGAUGAAACACAUACAUUUCCACAUACUUAUAUACAAUCUAAACACAAGUAGAUCUUUGGCCUCUGCAUGCAUAUCUCAUGUCCUUGGAGUAGUCAAAAAGUGCAUUACUAGGAUUAAGGCCAAAUUUUGGCAUUCAAAUCAAAACGUUAUGCUAAACACCUAACUGGAAAUUGGAAUAGCUCCAACCAUCAGCUACAGCCUAAUGUGUGGCUUCAUUUAACAUUUCAGGCAGAUCAUACAAGCAGCAGUUUUUCCAUCACCAUUGAUAUAUAACCAACCAUAAGAAGAAAUACCUCAGCUUUUCAACCAACCAAAAAUGACUGUCAAUUUAAUAGGGGCAAUGAAAAAGAGACCAAACAACCUUUCUACCACUAAUAACCACAUCAUAUAACUAAAACAAAUACCCAAAAAAGGAAAAGCAAAAUCAAUUCACAAAAUUGACAAUUGCACGUGUCCAGUAAUAUCAAAACCAGGGGAAAUGCUUACUGCUCCAGGAGCAGCACAAAGAACCCUUUUCUUGAUAUCCAAUUCAGCAACUAUCUUCGCGUCCUCUGACUCGUGGAUAUUAAUUUUAUCAUCCAAAACCAUAAAAAAUUUCUCCCCAC